This 465-nucleotide ribosomal RNA is filed under the name uncultured bacterium. RNAcentral's name for it is "partial 16S ribosomal RNA". It matches the Rfam family "Bacterial small subunit ribosomal RNA", at positions 28 to 507 of the family's 1533-position model. The record is from RNAcentral.
GACGAACGCUGGCGGCGUGCUUAACACAUGCAAGUCGAACGGAAAGGCCCUGCUUGCCGGGUACUCGAGUGGCGAACGGGUGAGUAACACGUGGGUGAUCUGCCCUGCACUUCGGGAUAAGCCUGGGAAGCUGGGUCUAAUACCGGAUAGGAGCCAUUUUUAGUGUGAUGGUUGGAAAGUUUUUUCGGUGUAGGAUGAGCUCGCGGCCUAUCAGCUUGUUGGUGGGGUAAUGGCCUACCAAGGCGGCGACGGGUAGCCGGCCUGAGAGGGUGGACGGCCACAUUGGGACUGAGAUACGGCCCAGACUCCUACGGGAGGCAGCAGUGGGGAAUAUUGCACAAUGGGCGCAAGCCUGAUGCAGCGACGCCGCGUGGGGGAUGACGGCCUUCGGGUUGUAAACUCCGUUCGCUAGGGACGAAGCUUUUUGUGACGGUACCUAGAUAAGAAGCACCGGCUAACUACGUG